Molecule: long non-coding RNA, 631 nt
Organism: Chinchilla lanigera (long-tailed chinchilla)
Lineage: Eukaryota; Metazoa; Chordata; Mammalia; Rodentia; Chinchillidae
Exons: 3
Source: RefSeq, a predicted model, not a curated record
GAGCCGCGGGCGCCGCCACAGCCGCGGGCAGAGACGGACCCGAGCGCCGACCUCCGCCUCCUCAUCCUGACAGCGGGAAAUAAGCACUUUGUGACCUUGGGAGAGUCAUUUAACCUCUUGGAACCUUCAUCAGUGCAAGGCCUAAUAAAAGCACGGUGACAGCUGCUGAGGAUUCGGCAAGAUGCAGUGCCUGCACUCUACUGAAGAGGAGAAAUAGUUAUGUGGGAGAUACUGCCUUUACCUGGGCCAGAGAGCCCUGUAUUUUAGAGGCUCUUCACACACGCUCCACCGCCACACCUCUACCCCAGAGCAAGGGGUCCACAGUCUUCCACUUCAGGACAAGUUUUGGGCACCAGUGACCCCAGGAUGCCUUUCCUUGAUGGCUGAAGCUGUGGCCUCUUUCCCAGGUUCCUCCUCUCUAGGACUGCCUGGGUGUUGCCCAAAGUGCCGGAGGACAACUACGUUUUGGAGAGGUGGCAUAGCACUUUUGGACAUAUUAGCCGCCAUGCCCACAGAUCCUUGGUGGUGUAGGACAGAGAUCAGAAAAGGAGACAGGUGAGCCAGGGGUCAGUGGCGCCACCAGGGUCUGUGUUCCCCUCACCUCCUUACUCAAGUACAUAUAUCCCAGGAG